CGGACGGGUGAGUAAUGUCUGGGAAACUGCCUGAUGGAGGGGGAUAACUACUGGAAACGGUAGCUAAUACCGCAUAACGUCGCAAGACCAAAGAGGGGGACCUUCGGGCCUCUUGCCAUCGGAUGUGCCCAGAUAGGAUUAGCUAGUAGGUGGGGUAACGGCUCACCUAGGCGACGAUCCCUAGCUGGUCUGAGAGGAUGACCAGCCACACUGGAACUGAGACACGGUCCAG
RNAcentral lists this ribosomal RNA (232 nucleotides) under uncultured bacterium. Its description in RNAcentral is "partial 16S ribosomal RNA". It matches the Rfam family "Bacterial small subunit ribosomal RNA", at positions 99 to 334 of the family's 1533-position model. The record is from RNAcentral. RNAcentral also lists the same sequence under 1 other name.